UGCCAGCCGCCGCGGUAAUACGGAGGGGGUUAGCGUUGUUCGGAAUUACUGGGCGUAAAGAGCAUGUAGGCGGAUGAAUUAGUCAGAGGUGAAAGCCCCGAGCUCAACUUGGGAACUGCCUUUGAUACUGUUUAUCUAGAGUCCGAGAGAGGUUAGUGGAAUUCCCAGUGUAGAGGUGAAAUUCGUAGAUAUUGGGAAGAACACCAGUGGCGAAGGCGGCUAACUGGCUCGGAACUGACGCUGAGGCACGAAAGCUAGGGUAUCGAACGGGAUUAGAUA
Molecule: ribosomal RNA, 279 nt
Filed under: uncultured bacterium
Lineage: Bacteria
Description: partial 16S ribosomal RNA
Rfam family: Bacterial small subunit ribosomal RNA
Source: RNAcentral